UACGUAGGGGGCAAGCGUUAUCCGGAUUUACUGGGUGUAAAGGGAGCGUAGACGGCAUGGCAAGCCAGAUGUGAAAGCCCGGGGCUCAACCCCGGGACUGCAUUUGGAACUGUCAGGCUAGAGUGUCGGAGAGGAAAGCGGAAUUCCUAGUGUAGUGGUGAAAUGCGUAGAUAUUAGGAGGAACACCAGUGGCGAAGGCGGCUUUCUGGACGAUGACUGACGUUGAGGCUCGAAAGCGUGGGGAGCAAACAGG
Molecule: ribosomal RNA, 253 nt
Filed under: Mediterraneibacter gnavus ATCC 29149
Lineage: Bacteria; Bacillati; Bacillota; Clostridia; Lachnospirales; Lachnospiraceae
Description: [Ruminococcus] gnavus ATCC 29149 partial 16S ribosomal RNA
Rfam family: Bacterial small subunit ribosomal RNA
Source: RNAcentral